CGUCCCUUAAAAACCCCCGCGACAGCUCAUCAUCUUCCUCGCGCGCUCUUCCCUCUCGUCGAAGCUCUCUCUCUCUCCCGAAGCUCUCUUCAUCUUCCUCUUCGAAAAUCGCCUGAUCCAAGCCUUUUUUGCCCAAAAAUCUCCUUUUUCUCUCAUUUUCUUCUCCUAAACUCACAAAAACACCUUCUUUUCUCCAAAAAUAACCCAUUUCGAGAUUUUUCAUUUGGGUAAGUUUUCUGUUUUCUCUCUCUUUUUUUAUGGGUUUUCCUUAUUUUUUAAUGUUUUAUCUUGUGUUUAGUUUCUUAUAUUUCUAGGGUUGUGUAUUUGUCGGCAUUGUUGAUAGCUGGGUUAUUUGAUUGAUGAGCUUUUGUUGAUAUGGGCAUAUGUAAAAUCCGCUGAUUUUUUUUUGGCUCUGUUUUUUU
This 422-nucleotide long non-coding RNA is filed under the name Manihot esculenta (cassava). RNAcentral's name for it is "long non-coding RNA (MESC_LNC009245)". The record is from RNAcentral. Lineage: Eukaryota; Viridiplantae; Streptophyta; Magnoliopsida; Malpighiales; Euphorbiaceae.